UCAACCCUGAAAUGUGACAUUUGUUGAAAUUAGUGAAUAAAAAAAAUAAAAAUAAAAAAAAACAAAUUGAAAAUUUUUCAAAAGCAAAACAAAUAUGAAAAAUGGAAAAUAAUAUUAUUAUAAUAUGCUCAGCCCCUAAGAUUAAUAAUUUUACAAGCGCAAAAACCAUAGAAAGCUAAGGAAGAGGGUUAGACGAAAAGGCCGACGGAAAUGGAAGUGACUUAAAAUGGAUAUUUUUCGACUAUUUGGUCAGGGACCCAAAUGAUCAAUCCAAAGCAGUUCUGGAUAAAGCUUUUUACGAUCUCGAGGCCAACAUUGUGGUUUUUUUUACCCUACAGUUUGAAACAAGAGAAAACAUUUCACAGUGCACCAGUGGCUGCAAAGUGUAGUUUUGACAUGCAUUUUAAAUGGUAGCAUCGUAACAUAUCUAACUAUUCGCUGGAACGAACACAAAUUGUGUUUCCCUUCGUGUGGUGUCCAAAUAGUGGCCAAAAUGUAUCAAAGAAAUCUCUUAAUAAACACAAUAGAGUAUUAAUUUUUA
Episyrphus balteatus (marmalade hoverfly) is the source of this 541-nucleotide long non-coding RNA. RefSeq lists it as uncharacterized. The record is from RefSeq and is a predicted model, not a curated record. NCBI's taxonomy places the organism in Eukaryota, Metazoa, Arthropoda, Insecta, Diptera, Syrphidae. The transcript is spliced from 2 exons.